RNAcentral lists this ribosomal RNA (253 nucleotides) under uncultured bacterium. RNAcentral's name for it is "partial 16S ribosomal RNA". It matches the Rfam family "Bacterial small subunit ribosomal RNA", at positions 524 to 776 of the family's 1533-position model. The record is from RNAcentral.
UACAGAGGGUGCAAGCGUUGUUCGGAAUUAUUGGGCGUAAAGGGUGCGUAGGCGGUGCGGUAAGUCCGUUGUGAAAGUCAAAGGCUCAACCUUUGAAAGCCGAUGGAUACUGCAGGGCUAGAGUCCGGAAGAGGCGAGUGGAAUUCCUGGUGUAGCGGUGGAAUGCGCAGAUAUCAGGAAGAACACCCGUGGCGAAGGCGGCUCUCUGGGACGGUACUGACGCUGAGACGCGAAAGCGUGGGGAGCGAACAGG